GAGGAAAAAAUGAAAAUUGCCCACUCAUGUUCCCAGGAAGGAACCAAAGGCAAAAAAACGAUUCUUGCUGUUGCAUGAACAGGAAUGUGGGACUUCCCUAUCAUACUGCACACCUCCUCUUUACUACAUGUUUACUGCUAAGUCCAAUAUGGUAAGAAGACAAAAAGCUCCAGAGAGGGUGGAAGUGGAAUGAUGCAAAUGAUUGCUAAAUUCAGAAAGAAUAAAUGGAGCUUUCUCAGCUUAGCAACACCAAUUUUCCUCCAGGGAGAAAGCCUACUUGAAGGUACCAGUUAUCAUCUGCACCAUUGACUACUGGGAAGUUGUGGCCAAGAGAGAGCCAGUGACAAUCCUGAGGUCACCAAGCCAAGAGGCUGUCCCCAUCCAGGACUGGAGGCCAGAAAGAAGAGUUAAAAGAACACAUGAGACUAAUCCGGCACUGAGACACACUCAAGAGAUUCAGAACUACAAGAAACAGGAAUCUCACCACACAGAUAUAAAACUGCUUCAUUUCUGGAUCCCCUCUAAAUUUUGUGCUCCUGGAGCCCAGAGGUAACCUGAGUUCAGAUAGAGCAUCCAACAUCUCAGGUGAGCAGCCAUACUGAACUUCUCUGUGAAGGCCACCUGGAGCAGGAGAUCCCCCCUUGCCCUCAUGUUUGCUUCAGCUGGAGCAGAUCCCUCUGAGAGUCUGGAUCAGGCAAUACAUCAGCUCUUGAGGUGUAAAGGACCUGGUGAGAAGCAAUACUCUCUCAGCUGCUUUCUCCCAGAGCCUUGAAUGUGUGCUACUUGGAUGGCAACUACAAACUUUCCCACUACCACUUGGCUUUGCAGUCCUGCAGCACUUGUGUGAACCUCCAGUGACCAUUUCCCUUCAUCUUUUAU
This is a long non-coding RNA of Fukomys damarensis (Damara mole-rat), 879 nucleotides long. RefSeq lists it as uncharacterized. The transcript is spliced from 5 exons. NCBI's taxonomy places the organism in Eukaryota, Metazoa, Chordata, Mammalia, Rodentia, Bathyergidae. The record is from RefSeq and is a predicted model, not a curated record.